RNAcentral lists this ribosomal RNA (618 nucleotides) under Debaryomyces hansenii. RNAcentral's name for it is "LSU rRNA". It matches the Rfam family "Eukaryotic large subunit ribosomal RNA", at positions 66 to 664 of the family's 3401-position model. The record is from RNAcentral. Lineage: Eukaryota; Fungi; Ascomycota; Pichiomycetes; Serinales; Debaryomycetaceae.
CCAAAGGGCAUGCCUUAGUACGGCGAGUGAAGCGGCAAAAGCUCAAAUUUGAAAUCUGGCACCUUCGGUGUCCGAGUUGUAAUUUGAAGAAGGUAACUUUGGAGUUGGCUCUUGUCUAUGUUCCUUGGAACAGGACGUCACAGAGGGUGAGAAUCCCGUGCGAUGAGAUGCCCAAUUCUAUGUAAAGUGCUUUCGAAGAGUCGAGUUGUUUGGGAAUGCAGCUCUAAGUGGGUGGUAAAUUCCAUCUAAAGCUAAAUAUUGGCGAGAGACCGAUAGCGAACAAGUACAGUGAUGGAAAGAUGAAAAGAACUUUGAAAAGAGAGUGAAAAAGUACGUGAAAUUGUUGAAAGGGAAGGGCUUGAGAUCAGACUUGGUAUUUUGCGAUCCUUUCCUUCUUGGUUGGGUUCCUCGCAGCUUACUGGGCCAGCAUCGGUUUGGAUGGUAGGAUAAUGACUAAGGAAUGUGGCUCUACUUCGGUGGAGUGUUAUAGCCUUGGUUGAUACUGCCUGUCUAGACCGAGGACUGCGUCUUUUGACUAGGAUGUUGGCAUAAUGAUCUUAAGCCACCCGUCUGAAAACCGGGACCCAAAAAAGGAAAAAUAAAAAAUAAGGUUAAAUU